UACGAAGGGGGCUAGCGUUGCUCGGAAUCACUGGGCGUAAAGCGCACGUAGGCGGCUUUUUAAGUCAGGGGUGAAAUCCUGGAGCUCAACUCCAGAACUGCCUUUGAUACUGAGAAGCUUGAGUCCGGGAGAGGUGAGUGGAACUGCGAGUGUAGAGGUGAAAUUCGUAGAUAUUCGCAAGAACACCAGUGGCGAAGGCGGCUCACUGGCCCGGUACUGACGCUUAGGUGCGAAAGCGUGGGGAGCAAACAGG
RNAcentral lists this ribosomal RNA (253 nucleotides) under uncultured bacterium. Its description in RNAcentral is "partial 16S ribosomal RNA". It matches the Rfam family "Bacterial small subunit ribosomal RNA", at positions 524 to 776 of the family's 1533-position model. The record is from RNAcentral.